AUCUGAUGACUCAUCAGUCACCGUGGGCGUCUCCGGAUGGAACCCUGAACAUUUAUUCAGAGGGUGCUUUUGCCAGUUUCUGAACGACUCCUAGUAAGUCCUGCCUUUUGGGGAUUGUUUUAACCCCAUGGAGAUUGGGGGUUUGAAGACUCAGUGGGUUCCUGUCUGAAGGCCUCUGGGGGCUUAAAAAGUCCAGUGGGGCUUUGGGGAACUGGCUCCAGGUAAGCCUGUGAACGCAGAGGAAUGCAUUCUCAAACUGAGGGCUUGAGUGGUCUCUCCUUGGUCAUCUGUCCAUCUAAGUACCUGGCUGGCCCCAGAUUGCCCCUGGAAGUGGGGCUUGGGAGAUGUUAGCUCCUUUCAGGAGCUGCAGGGCUCCUCCCAUGUAUUUUCUGUGGGGCAUCAAAGACCCAGGGCUGGCUUUGGAGCUGGGUUUAAUGUAGGCUGCUCUGCUCACCAACUCCACCAUCCUGGGCAAGUCCCUUCUGCUCUCUGGGUUUCCGUUUCCUCCUCUGUGCAAUGCAGUCAAUACCAUUGUGGCCGUCUGGUUCUGAGGGUUGGAGGAGGUGCCGUCUGUAACAACUGUUAUUACUGUGCAGCCCAGGGGCCCCAUCACUUCGGUUUUCUCAGAAGCAGCUUCUGAGACGCGGAUUCGUGUGGAAGCAAUUUAUUAAGGAAGUGCUCCCAAGAAACACGGAAGGGUAUGGAAGGGCAGGACCAAGAAGGGGAGGAAGCCAGUUUCAGACAAAGUCCCUCUGCAGAAGGGUCUUAGUCCAUCCAGGCUGCUGUAACACGGUACCACACGCGGGGGGGCUGAUAAACCACAGACACGUACUUCUCAUGGUUCUGGAGGCUGAGAGGCCGAGAUCAGGGUACCAGCACGGUCGGGUUUGGGGGAGGGCCCUCUUCUGGGCUGUAGAUUGCCAACUUUUCCUUGUGCCCUCACAUGGCAGAGACAGGGAGAGAGAGCUCUCUGGGGUCGCUUUUUAUAAGGGCACUGACCCCCUUCAUGAGGGCUCCAUCCUCAUGACCUCAUGACCUCCCAAAGGAGGAGCUCUGGAGGGCAAGUGUCAACUCAGAGCCUGUCCUGACUCCAGGCAAGAGCACUGUACCUGCAUGCUCCCUUGCACCAGCUAGGAGCUACCGUGAGUGUGGGGAUUGAAACUCCUGGGUACUUCUGGCUCUGAGGGGGAUGUGCCCCGGGCGGGCCUGCAAAGAGUCCCAGGCACAGGCUGUGGGAAUUAGGAGAGGGGAAGCUAUAUGGGGUGGGGGAAGGAGCCCGAGGGGAUGUGGGUGAAGCAUCUAGAGUGUCCCCACCACCCCUUUGCUUAUCUGUCCUCCCACCAGAGGGGGCCAGGCCAGCACCCCUGUAUGGAUGGGACUGGGGCCGGGGAAGGAGGCUGGAGUCAGGAGGAGAGGCACCACCCAGGCCUUACUCUUCAUAUGGGUGGAACCAUCCCAUGAACAAGUGGGAUGAGGAAGCCUGAGGAGCUUUUGGCCAAGCUUAGCCUCUGGGGGUGCCCAACACUGGGCACGGAUAGGGCUGGGGCACAGACCCAAUAUUCCAGUACCUCCAAGUCUUUUGUCCGGCACCCAGGCUAGGGGCCCUGAAGAUGCUUCACUGUCCAGCGGGAUGGGGUUGGGGAAAUAUUUUUGUUCUCUUCAGCUCAGUAGCCUUCUUCCUUCCUUUCAUCACCUUGUCUAAGACUGGCCGGGUCUUUUCUCAAGGUCACCCCAGGAACCAGGGUUCCUUGGGUUCUGUCGCCAGCUCUGGGCACCUCUCCACCAUGGGCCACCUGGCUCUUUCAUUUUCUUACUUCCAACUUCCACCUUCUCUUCUGCAGCAUUGAGCUGCUUUUCUCAGCCUCUCUGGACUUAAAGCAACUUGGCCCAAAGGCUGCCAGUUGCCCUUUCUCAACCCUCCAAUGCUUCUGUGCCCUCUACCAGGGAUGGGGCUGUGGAAUCCAGAGCACACCCGGUUGCCUUCCCUAAAUUUCCAUUCACCAGCAAAGAUGAGUUUAUUUUCCACUGUCAGGAAUUCAGAGUUUGAAUGAUUUUACCACUGCUCUGUUCUUGGUGCAGCUGGGAUUCUAUUUAUCACUGGGUUAGGAAUUUCACUUCCUGCCUUUUCCAUCCCAGAAGAAUUCUCUCCCCUCCCCUCCCUUCCUCUUCUCUCUUUCCCCCUUCUCUCCUUUCCUCUUUUCCCUUCUCCUCUGCCUGCUUUUCCAUCCCUCUCCCCUUCUCCUCUCCUUCCCCACCCUCCUCUUCCCCCCUUUCCAUUUUGUUCCCCUUCUCCAUUCUCUCCCUUUUUUCUUCCCCCCUCUCCCCUGCCCUUUUCUGUCUCCUCUCCUUUCUCCCCUUCCCUUUUUCUCUCUUCCCCCUCCUCUCCCUCUCCCGCCCCUCCCCCACAUACUGUUUUGCUGUCCUCAGGGUGACGGUGACUUAGGCCAGCCCUGGGGAUGGGUGGGAGAGCAGCUGAGAAUCCAAAGGCAGGAGAGUGCACAAAAAAGAGAUAUGUCGACAAGUGGCUAGGGACCAUGUUCCUGCUUUAGCUACGCACUGUGUCAAGCGCUGAAAGUCACUACACAGGCAGUCAUUAUUAUGAUUUUUACCUUACAAAAAAUGCUUCACCCAGGGCAUGGCAUCUACUUGGUAUUCAGUAGCAGUCAAAUUGGAAAAAGGAGGCUUUCAAAGAGUCAUUAAGACAAACACUGUUUGAAAAUUAUACAGAAAUUCUAUUUAGCUAUUUGAAAAUGAAAGAGUAUUAUACUGUCUUUGUAAAAAUGCUUUUUUUCCAGUUGCUCACUGAUUUUUUUCCCCCCAGUUGCGGUGGCUGAUUAGUGUUUUCGUAGCGUCUCUUCCAGUUCACCGCAGACCUGCUGUUCCGUGGAGUCUGGUGUUGCAAAGCUUGUUGCAAAGCUUGUGCUGAGGAACUGCGAGGGGUCUCUGGGAAUCUCUCUCAGGUUGCCGGGACCAGAGAGCCAUGUGUCUGGCUAAUGUGACCAUCCCUCAACAAGGGUACUGCUCACUGGAUUUCUCUACACAGACUCCCCUCCUGAGGAACUGACUAGGCAUGAAAGAUCUCCCCCAAGAAUUGUUUAGUGACAGCUUAAGCUAGGCUAGCCUCUCUGCCUCACUAAGCUCAGCUGAGGUCAGAGUGGUGGGGUGUGACGCCCGCAACUCCGGGCAGUUAACUCACACAAAGGGAAAACUCUCUCCCCACCUUGCCUACCUGCCUCCCUGCCUGUGGGCAAUUUUGCCAAUGUUUUCCAUUAGUCACAAAGGAGAGGGGCAGGUGGGGGCAGGGUGGUCAGUGGGGACAAUCAUUACACAGGAAGAAAACCAAAACCAUAUUACUAUCUAAGGCACUGUGCUAAGUGCUGGCAUUAGGGUUGCAUUUGGUGAAAAUCCACAUAUAACACAGAAAAAUCUAUGAACCAUCUAGAAAUCCUAACUUCUUGACCCUUGAACUCCUUCUUUAAGAAGAUCACUUGUUCAUGGAGGGCUUCCCUGACCCCUGGGCAGGCUCCUUCCCCAUUCUCUUGGCUGCUUCUGCCAGCACUUGGUGUCCUUUGCCUGAGGCUCUCUUUGGCUGCGUGAGUGGGCAGCCCUCCCUAACACCCUCAACUCUGACUGUUAGGAUUCCGUAAGUAAAUGCUCCAGCCUCCUCAUCCUUCAGGAGGGAUGAUCUGAGGUGUGUUCCACACUGUCAACCAGGGGUAUCCUGCAGGACCCAGCCCCAUUUGCCCCAACAAAUGCGGACAAAUGGGUGGGAGCCUACUUAUCAAUACGGCCUCUGACUGCCCCCCUGGCUCUCUCUCCAUGUCCUCAUUGCCCUACUGAUGCUUCCUGGAAUCACCUCCCAAAGAAACUGCUUGCACACAAAACCUUGUAUGCAAGACAUUUGCAAUCUAAAUUAAGUCUCCCUGUUCUUUCUCAGGGCACUCCCCACCCCCAGCUUAAUAGCACUCAUCAUGAUAUGUAAUUAUGCAUUUGUUUGUGUAUCUAUUUGUUUAAUGAGGGCAGAGACAAUGUCUAUUUUGUUCACCACUAAAUCCCUGCACAUCACUCAACCCAGAGCUUAACAUGUGGUAGAUGCUCAACGUAAAUUCUGUUGAAGGAAUGAAUGUAACAUCAUUAGAGCUUUCUAAUCUUUCACCCUUUGGGGUGGUUCAAAAACAUGACCCCAAAGUUUCCUGACACUCCUUCCAAUGAGAAGCGGGGUCCUUCUCUCCUUGAAUCUGGAUACGCUGGUGACAGCUUCAACUAAGAGAAUGAAAGGGCUAGGUCAUAAAAGGCCACACAGCUUCUGCCCUGAAGCCCUGAAUAGCUGUCAUGUAAGAACUCUGACUACCCUCAGCCGGCCAUGCUGAGAGGAGGCCCAAUUAAUAUGAAGGGACAACACAUAGGUGCAGAGAUCCAUAGUCCCAACUGAGCCCAGUCUCCAAGUCAUUUCAGCCUAAGUACCAGAUGUGUGAAUGAAGAAGCUUCUGGAUGAUUCCAGCCCCCAGCUCUUUUCAAGUCUUCUCAACUGAGACCCCAGACAUUGUGGAGCAGAGAGAUCCACAAUGCUUUGGCCCGUCCAAAUUCCUGACUUAUGGAAACUUCGAGCAUAAUAAAACCGUUGUUAAGCUGCUAAAUUUUGGAGUAAUUUGUUAUGCAGAAAUAAUUGGAAGACCUUGAUUGUGAGUUUAUUAAUUCUGCAUUUAUUUGAAAGUCAUUUAUCAAGUUCCUACUAUGUGCCAGGUGAUGGUUACACAGUAGCAAACAAGGGAAAGAUCCCUACCUUCCGGGAACUUACAAUCUAGGGGCUGCUGUUGUAACUGUAUCUUGCAAAAGCCUACAUGUUGCUUUUUAACAAUAAUGAGUAGGUUUUUCUGAAACCACUUCCAGAUGGUGUGGGGGGAGGGGUGCUUCCGGAGUGAGUUGCUAAGGGAAGCUCCAGGGGUAGGUGGAUUAGAUAACACAGACCCAGGGAGCUCUAUUAUUUGCUGGCUGUCAACCACCACUGUCCUGCAAAUCAUCCACAGACUAGCUGCACCCCCACACUAAGGGGGAGAGAUUAGGGAAGCUGGGAGGUGCCAUCCUUGAGGCAGAAGGAGAGGGGAACUGCUCCCCGCAGGCCCUGGAAAAGAGAUGGUGCCUGCCUCUUGGAGGAAGAUGGCAUUGGCUUGUCCAAAGCUGGAGUAGGAGGACUUAAGAAAGCUGAGGCCACUGGCUGGCACUUCAGCUCCCUUAUCUGACUCCGGGAGGCAGGUCUGGAAUCAAAGUUGCCCCUGUGUGUCCAGACGUGCCUCACUCAUGAACAUGAUUUUAUGCCCCUUAUGUUUCUGCUCCUCCUUCAUUCUUUAACAAAGCAAGACAUUUUUAUCUGCCUGUCUCGACUCUGCUAAGGUGAAACAAAGAAAAGGACUCUGUCCUUUGAAGGACUAGUCAUGAAGGGUGUUUUCUCCUAGGGGUGACCUUUGGUAUCAAGGUACAAACUGCAAGAGGAAGGGGAAUUCCAGGAGGAAAGUUUGGGUGUUUAGCGUCUCAUGUCUGCCUGGAGCUUUUCCAUCCUGGAAACCUGCUUUUGUUUAACCCUGGAAGGUUCUGGGGCCUAUACAAGGAAGGGCGGCCAUGUUAGGGACACUGUUCAGUAAAACAGGACCCACCUCUCCCAGCGGCUGGUGAUAGAAGUGGAGUCAAUGCAGACAGGCUGUGAAUUGGGCUGUUUUUGUGUCAGUAUAAAGAAAUACCUGAGAUUGGGGAAUUUAUAAAGAAAAGAGGUUUCAUUGGCUCUUGAUUCUGCAGGUUGUACAGGAAGCAUGGUGCUGGCAUCUGCUUCCGAUGAGGGCCUCAGGGAGCUUACAAUCAUGGUGGAAGACGAAGGGGAGCCAAUGUUUCACAUGUUGAGAGUGAGAGCAAGAGAGAGGGAGGGGAGGCAGCCACACACUUUUAAACAACCAGAUUUUUUUUUUUUUUUAGAUGGAGUCCUGCUCUGUUGCCCAGGCUGGAGUGCAGCAGCGUGAUCUCGGCUCACUGCAACCUCCACCUCCCAGGUUCAAGCGAUUCUCCUGCCUCAGGCUCCUGAGUAGCUGCGAUUACAGGCGCGUGCCACCAUGCCCGGCUAAUUUUUGUAUUUUUAGUAGAGGCAGGGUUUCACCAUGUUGGUCAGGCUAGUCUCGAACUCCUGACAUCGUGAUCCACCCGCCUCGGCCUCCUAAAGUGCUGGGAUUACAGGCGUGAGCCACCCUGCCUGGCCUAAGCAACCACAUCUUGCAUGAACUAACUGAGCGAGAACUCACUUAUCACUGAAGGGAUGGCGCUACACCAUUCACGAGGGGCUAUUCCCAUGAUCCAAUCACCUCCCACCAGGCCCCACCUCCAACAGUGGGGAUCACAUUUCAACAUGAGAUUUGGAGAGGACAAACAUCCAAACGAUAUCAGGCUGAAAACACGGCUGGCACUUGAAACUUUAGAGAAGUCACCUUUUCCCUGGGCUCCUCGCUCUGGUCUCCCUGAGACUGUCACAGCGGCUUCAUAGGUGCUUCGAGUUUCUUUGCCACCCCCUGAUCAGGCCUUCUGUGUUUUGUAGUAGUCGCCUUCCCAGAUUUAUUGAGUAGCUCAGCUGAACCAAGGUCUGAGCAUUCAAUUAGGUCUUGUUAUUCAUCCGUUCACCAAAUAUUUAGUGAGCCAUGUGCCAGGCACAUUUCUAGCUGCUGAUACAGCUGUGAACAAGACAGAUGAAGCCCUUGCCCUUCGUGGAGCUCACAUUUUAAUAAAUAGUUUGGAGGCGGACAAAGAGAAAAUAAACAGAGAAACACGAACCUGGAGCAUUUGGCUCACAACUUAGAGUUGACUCAUCUUCAGUUUGACGUCCCUCCUGCUACGAGUUCCUGGCUAACUGACAUCUCUUCUCCUCAAGCAGAUGCUAACUUUGAGCCCUACCACUGCCUACUCCAGAAUGAGUAUUUGCCUUUCUUUGAAGCCAGAGAAUGAUGUGCUGCAGCACCGGAAACAUCAUUUACUUUCCAAAAUGGGCCGCAUUGUAACCUGAGUGUGUGCCAUUGUUGCUGAUGUGAGAAGGAGCG
Molecule: long non-coding RNA, 7070 nt
Filed under: Homo sapiens (human)
Lineage: Eukaryota; Metazoa; Chordata; Mammalia; Primates; Hominidae
Description: non-protein coding lnc-BCOR-1:2
Source: RNAcentral